Etheostoma cragini (Arkansas darter) is the source of this 202-nucleotide long non-coding RNA. RefSeq lists it as uncharacterized. Lineage: Eukaryota; Metazoa; Chordata; Actinopteri; Perciformes; Percidae. The record is from RefSeq and is a predicted model, not a curated record. The transcript is spliced from 3 exons.
AGCAAAAAAGAAAGCAAAUGUUCAUCCCUGACGGCCCUUUUACUGUGUUUACAGCAACCAGAGAGUAGUUACACCCAUGUAUGGUGAUCUAGGAAAGUGGUUCCAUUGAAGAACUACCAAGCUAGAUAAACAUUGAGGAUUGCAAUCUAAGUCAAUGCCCAUCUGCAGAGGUAAUACAAAACACACACACACACACACACAC